This is an RNA transcript of Strigops habroptila (Kakapo), 3384 nucleotides long. It is a transcript of the gene named inositol polyphosphate-5-phosphatase B, with no coding region annotated. The record is from RefSeq and is a predicted model, not a curated record. Lineage: Eukaryota; Metazoa; Chordata; Aves; Psittaciformes; Psittacidae. The transcript is spliced from 22 exons.
CGAACCGGGCCCGAACCCGCUGCCGGGGGCUGGGAGCUGCCGCUCGGCCGAGCCCCGGUCCCUGCCGCGGCUCCCGGGGCGGUGCCGUUAUUUCCGGCGGCUCGGCCCGGCCCGGCCCCGGCGCGCAGGGUAACGGAAAACGGCUGCUGCGGGCCCGGGAACCGCCGCCAAGGAGGGGGUGCCCGGCCGGGCGGCGCCGGUAGCGGCCCCGCCUGAGGGGCUGGGGGGCGCCGUGGGCCGGGCACGACACGUCGCGAUAGUGGCGCUGAGCGGUGCCGGGCAGCGGUCGCCGACCGGCGCGGAGCAUGGACCAGUCGGUCGUUAUCCAGGAGACCCUGGGGGAGGGUGCGACGUGCCGGAUCGCGGUGCAGGGCGUCCUGGCCGCGGGGGAGGCCACGGAGAGCCGGCUCCUGGGCCUGGUGGAGACCCGCCGCGGGCUCGCGAUCCACAUAUACACUCACCGGCGGAUGGCCAUCGAGGCUGAGGAUGUCUGCCUGGAGAAAGUCAUCCCCAUCACAGAAGGGUUUGCAGUGGAAGAAGUUGUCAUUGACACUGACCUUCAUGUCCUUGGCUGUGACGUGACUGUCCAGAUCAGUUCCGAACAUGAUGAACUCACGGUGCAGUUGCCUUUCGGUUCCCACACGCGCACGUUCCUGCGGGAGGUCAGCCGGUGCCAGGAAGAAGUGGUUAGCUCUGAAGGCGUCAAAAAGAACGGAAAAAAGCCUGUGGUUAGUCAGAACCGGAGCCGUGACAGCACUGAUAAAAGUGCUCCUGGGCAAAACAAACUCAAACCUGAAGUGACAACUGAAAUGGUGCGGUCCUCCAGCGUCAUGGUGUCAGACAAGGCUUCAAUCUUAUCAGAGCCAAAGUUUGGACUACGAGACACUAUUAUUAAAUCUCAGCUUCUACAACAGGUGGAUUCCUACACAUACAUCCAGAACUUCAGAUUUUUUGUGGGGACAUACAAUGUGAACGGUCAGUCACCCAAAGAAAGCCUCCAGCCUUGGCUGGCAUGCGAUGCCGAGCCUCCAGACAUCUACUGUGUGGGUUUCCAGGAGCUUGAUCUGAGUAGAGAUGCCUUGUUUUUCACUUACACACCGAGGGAAGAAGAAUGGUUUGAAGCUGUAACUGACAGUCUUCACCCAGAUGCCAAAUAUGCAAAGGUGAAACUUGUGCGGCUGGUGGGAAUCAUGCUUCUGUUCUAUGUGAAAGCAGAGCAUGCUUUGCACAUCUCCGAGGUGGAAGCUGGGACUGUGGGAACUGGAGUCAUGGGGAGGAUGGGUAACAAAGGUGGUGUUGCCAUAAGGUUUAAAUUCCAUAACACUAGCAUGUGCAUUGUGAAUUGCCACCUCGCAGCUCACAUGGAGGAAUACGAGCGGAGGAACCAGGACUUCAAAGACAUCUGCUCUCGGAUGCAAUUCUGGCAGUUGAAUCCAAAUUUGCCCCCUCUCACUAUUGGCAAACACGAUGUGGUCUUAUGGUUGGGUGACCUCAACUAUCGGCUGGAGGAUCUGGAUGUGGCAAAAGUGAAGCAGCUUGUAGAUGAGAAAGCAUUUCUAGAGCUUUGCCAGUAUGACCAGCUAAAGAGGCAAAUGAAUGCAAAUGCAGCCUUUGAAGGCUUUACAGAGGGAGAGAUUUCUUUCCAGCCAACAUACAAAUAUGAUCCAGGCUGUGAUGACUGGGACACAAGUGAGAAGUGUCGUGUUCCAGCCUGGUGUGAUCGGAUACUCUGGAAAGGGCAGAACAUCACCCAGCUGAGCUAUCGCAGCCAUAUGGCUCUGAAGAUCAGUGAUCAUAAGCCAGUUAGCUCCGUGUUUGAAAUUGGGGUGAAAGUUGUGGAUAAGGAGCUCUACCGAAAAGCCUGUGAGGAAAUAGUGCGCUCCCUGGAUAAGCUGGAGAAUGCCAACAUUCCCUCAGUGACCCUCUCCCAGAGAGAGUUCCAUUUUAAGGAUGUUAAAUACAUGCAGCUGCAGGUGGAGAGGUUUACAAUCCGCAAUGGACAAGUGCCCUGCCAGUUUGAAUUUAUCAGCAAACCAGAUGAGGACAGCUACUCCAAGGAGUGGCUCAUUGCUAAUCCCAGUAAGGGCUUUCUGCUCUCAGAUACUGAGAUCACAAUUGAACUGGAGGUGUUUGUUAAUAAAUCUACAGCUACACACUUAAACUCUGGAGAGGAAAAACUUGAAGAUAUCUUGGUCCUGCACCUGAUUAGGGGGAAGGAUUAUUUUCUAUCUGUAACAGGCAACUACUUGCCAAGUUGCUUUGGGUCUCCUAUUCAUGCGCUGUGUCACAUGAGGGUACCGAUCCAGGACAUGUCAGCAGAAUCCGUUCGGAAACUUGUGAGUUUAAGACAAGAUUGUCUUCUGAACCCACAAGAACCAUUAAACUAGAUGUUAAGUCUUUAUUGUUAAGGAGCCUUCUUCCACUUCCCUGGUCCAUAGUCUGAGAAUGCUGAUGCAGCUUGUGCUCUCCAGUGCACCGUCUGCACACCCUGCCUUAGUUCUUCACGUGGAGGAACCAACCCAUUUCAUAUAGAGAGCACUGGAAGUAAGAUCCAUUUGCUCUGCCUGCAUGUUUAAAAAAGACCCUGAUGCCACUAGAAAUGAGUGGUAAUGCUGUUCCAGCUGAAAAGCCAUUGGAAAUUCCAAAAGAGCUGUGGAUGAUGGUGGAUUACUUAUACCGCAAUGCUUCCCAGCAGGAGGAUCUGUUUCAGCAACCAGGCCUCAGAUCUGAAUUUGAGCAAAUCCGAGAUUGUUUGGACAAAGGAAUACACGAUACCCUCCAUGGCAGCAACCACUCGGUAGCAGAAGCCCUCCUGCUCUUCCUGGAAAGCCUGCCCGAGCCGGUCAUCUGCUCCAGGUUCUACAGCAGAUGUUUGGAGAGUGCCGACAGCUACCCUCAGAGCUGUCAGAUUAUCUCUAAGCUGCCAGCGUGCCAUAAGAAUGUGUUUGACUAUCUAAUGGCAUUUCUCCGAGAACUACUGAAAAAUUCGUGCAAAAACCAUUUGGAUGUGAAUAUUCUCGCUAGUAUAUUUGGUGGCUUGUUGCUUCGACCUCCUCCUGGACAUCCUCCACCUGAUAUAACUGAAAAGAGUAAAGCUCAGCAAUUUAUCCAUCAGUUCCUCGUGAUAGAAGACAAUCUACCAUGAAUCUCAGAUGCAGCUAAUCUUAUUUUUAGGUAUCAAAUUACUGUAAAAAUAUUGGGUUUGUACAGUAUAAUGCCUUUUUUUUAUAUAUAGCAUAGUAUUUUAUACAAUCUAUGGCUUUUGAAGGCACAGAGCAGGGAGCUUGAAUCAGCUGUCACUGUUUAAGCUGUAAAGUAUAUAAAAUUUCUAAAUAAGCUGUAUGUAGACAAGCAAAAAUAUAAAAGCUGAGACUUAACACUGUA